Molecule: ribosomal RNA, 253 nt
Filed under: uncultured bacterium
Lineage: Bacteria
Description: partial 16S ribosomal RNA
Rfam family: Bacterial small subunit ribosomal RNA
Source: RNAcentral
UACAGAGGGUGCGAGCGUUGUCCGGAAUCACUGGGCGUAAAGGGCGCGUAGGCGGCUUGAUAAGCGUGCGGUGAAAGCCCGGGGCUCAACCCCGGGUCGGCCGUGCGAACUGUCGAGCUGGAGCACUGUAGAGGCAGGUGGAAUUCCAGGUGUAGCGGUGGAAUGCGUAGAGAUCCGGAAGAACACCGGUGGCGAAGGCGGCCUGCUGGGCAGUGGCUGACGCUGAGGCGCGACAGCGUGGGGAGCAAACAGG